Long non-coding RNA from Nicrophorus vespilloides, 906 nucleotides. RefSeq lists it as uncharacterized. The record is from RefSeq and is a predicted model, not a curated record. NCBI's taxonomy places the organism in Eukaryota, Metazoa, Arthropoda, Insecta, Coleoptera, Silphidae. The transcript is spliced from 3 exons.
UUCGUAAAAAUUAGCUCCCACAAGAAUGUUAGAAGUGAAUGUUGAUCUUGAAUAAACGUAGAUUCAAAUGAGCGUAAAUAUUGGAUUAUAGCUGCUAUAACGUCUUCAUAAUUAAUUAACAAACUUUGGUAUUUCACAAAUGACAGAUGGAAAAAUAAAGUCUUCGAAAAUGUACUAAACUAUUUUAUUCACUUUCUGGUCAUUUGGUGAAAAUUUACAUUUUUGAUUUUCCAGUAUCUUCAUUGUACCUGGCAUUCAUUAUGUAAGGAUUAUGUUGGAGAUUUCGUCUUAGUUGAGGAUUAAAUUCCGCUCCGAACGUAAUCGAAUCGCUCUUAUAUAAACAACACACACAGCACACACAUAUAUUUCAACGGAGUUAAAUUUAUAUUCGAGUGGAUUUGUGCGUUUUCAGCAGCCCACGCUCGAAUUUAUGUUCAUCUCUUCUUUUCCUACGGCAUCACCUCUCUUCUAAACCUUCCGAAUUUUCAGAGCACAUCAAAAUUCAUUUGGCACCGAAAAGCCGCACAUUUUCGCACGCUGCAUAAAUUACUGUUACAUGUUUAUUGCUCAUCCACUUACACAUUUAAAUUAUACUGUGGAUACAUGUAAAACGCGAGAAAUAGAAACGUCUCUCUCUCUUCUACCGUAACACGACGAGCCAAGUUUUGCGUUCACCCACCUACUACACACAUCUACGAAAUCAACCCACGCAAGUCGCAAAGUCUUUGGACGAUCUGAGAGGAGAUCGCGGAUGAAAGGACCGAAUUAAUAUCCCAAUUGCGGUCGACGGGCGUUCCUAGUGUUUCAUUCAAAAACUCCCGUCGCCGACUAAAAAUAAUUACACUAAUUACGUGAGAACGUCUCCAAUCUCUCGCUUUGUUUCCUCAAAUUAAUGAAUUUCAUUCA